GUCAUAGCUUAGGGGCAGAGCAUUUGGUCUGAAUGCAGAAGGCCCUAGAUUUAAUCCCUAGUAUCUCCA
Non-coding RNA from Podarcis lilfordi (Lilford's wall lizard), 69 nucleotides. The record is from the annotation of a GenBank genome assembly. NCBI's taxonomy places the organism in Eukaryota, Metazoa, Chordata, Lepidosauria, Squamata, Lacertidae.